UAGAAAGCUAUCAUCACGUCUUUUCUCCAUAAAUCCUUAUAGAUACCAAAAGUAAUUCACAAAAAGUUUCAUCUCAUUCCGAGAACUUUUAUUUCUGCGCAAAAAUAACAUCAAGUUAGUUCUGCUGGAAACAGCGUCAGUCCGGGUUAGUUCCAUUCAAAUCAUCCAAAUUAGAGGCCAAAAUGAGAGGAGAAGUGUUUGGAAUAGUAGAUACGUUGGAGACGUACCAACUCCCCUAAGCUUAACUCGCUGCUUGUUGUCAAGAAAUUCAGUUGAUAAAAUGAAAGUGAUAAAGAAAACAUUUACAAACUCUUUUGUUCUCGUUAUUAUACACAAGCUUAGCUAGUGUUCAAUUUUUCAGCAUAAAUCAUAAAUAAACACAUCCAUGAUAAUAAUUUAAGAAUCAUAUCCAAACAUGGCAAUACAUAACCAACUGGUAAGCAAUAAUAAGACGUCUCACAUGCGAACCAUUUGUCAUAACAAUCACAAUAUAAUAUGGUGGCAUGGUAUCUCGCAAGCCCUUUGUGAGACUGCAAAACAUAAAUGCAAAGCACCUCCAAUCUCGGGCCUCGGCCUCCGCAACAGCUAACUCAUUACAGUAUGCAAUUAUGUCCUGUGGCAUGAUGGUGUAUCCAUUUCUCGCACGGAAAUUAAACAAGGACGAUGCAGGCAACACAAUAAUAUCACGAGUAACCUCACUGAAUACUAAGUUCUAAUGAAUGCCUUGCAGUAUAUCAGUUGCAUGGGUGAAAUGAUAAUCUAUCAUAGAUUGGUGGUCAAGAUAAACCUGGGGCAAUAAAUAAUUAGUGGGGCAUAUAGCCCCUUCAAUGCUCUUAGCUAGGCGUGUGGCCUAAACACCACCAUGUAUCAUGCCUCUAGUUUGGUUAAGGUGCAAGCGGCGCGAAACAAUAGCUCCUUAGGUGUAAGUGUUACCAAAAUAAAGUGCACGGUGCAAAAUAGAAAGGGUCGGGGCACUAAGACCGGCACCCUGCUCCAUAGGAAUUAUGCAUUUUCCUAUAAACACAGAAAAAUAAUGCAUAGAAGGAAAAUGCAGACUAGUGGCUCUGGCAUUCGAUACUCCCCUAGUUUCUCCCACAAUUAAGGUGAGGAGAAAAUUAUCGAAUUCCUCACGCUUAGGAUCAUGCACUUCCCCAUCAAAGGGAAGCAAGCAUACUUCACAAAAUCGGUCUAGAGGCAAAUCAUAAUUGUUACAUGCAGAUUAAAACGUAUGGUGCGAGCAUCAGGAGUGUUUAUGAAAUAAAAGUUCUGAACGAAAGAAUUUGUGAGGAGGUAGUAUUGGUUACACUCAUCUGCAAGGAAGUUGGUCAGUCCGGCAUUCGCGAUAAACUGCAUGAAUUCUUCAAUAAAACCAGCUUCACUCAUGAAGGGCGUAUGUGGCCAUUCACACAGCCUAACCUCCGUGUUGUGAGAUAUGUUGAGGUCUCUAUCUAGAGUUCUUACUGCAACUCCUUUAGGACUCCGACUUGAAGAACCCUUCCUUGAGGAACAUCUCCUUAUGAAUUCAUUUUGCUGCACACAAUUUCUGAAAUUUUUGGGCCACAAAAAUUAUGUCAACUAGUCGUCAACCCGUGCACAGGCAUGGCAGCACGGGCUAGCCCUUCUACGUUACACUUAAGGACAGUAAAGCUUAUAUUAUAAUAAUUAAAUAUUACAUUUGAAGAGUUAUUGUGAAUAUAAAUACACCAUGAAAAUUUAGGAUUAUAAAUAUAAAAUAAUUAUUUUUUGGAGAUGUAUAUCAUCACCAAAUGUUGGUAGAUAAGAGAAGAGGCCGGAAAAAAAUCAUUAUAUGUAAUGUGCCACUUUAAAGCUGAUAGUGUCACUACUCAGAAGGUAAUCGUGCAGAGAUUACAUACAACAUAUGUACUUGUCAAGUUUCUCUGAUUGAAAAAUGAGGAUGCAUGCACUUAGCCUAUUUCCUUGGAAAAUGAUGUACUAUGCUUCCAUUUGAUUUUGAAGUAAAGCCAACAGAUUAAUAACUUAUAUUUUUUUAUUCUAGGUUAAAACUAACAAGACAUCACCUGCCAAAAACCUAACAAUUCAUCAACUUAGUUAUGAUGCUAUCCUAACUAUUAAGAGAAAUACCUAGAGAAUAUACAAACAAUGUGUGUGUGCUGAAAUGAGAAACUUACACACUAACAAAGGUACGGUCUCCAAUGCUUUGGUGGAUGAUGCUAACCUUGCAUGUUCAGACCUGCUACAAUCAAAUUUGCUCAAAUUAUUCUAUGAUGUAUUAAUAAGGACUAUUAAUAACACAACGCUUUGUAAUUUGUACUUGCUGAGAUAUAUAAAACUUCAAUUCGGAUAUUCGUUACAAUAUCUCAAUUGCAUGUUCUUGAGCAAGGAUUAAACAAAUCCAUACAAUCUCACCUCUCACUAUCUUUCUUUCCAUGUAAAUUGUUGUGAUACAAAAACAGUUUUGAAACAAAAAGUUUGGUCCCUACAAAUUUUGUAGCUCACAAAUCUAUAAUGUGGCGAGUAAGUCAAUAGAAAUAGUUACCUUAGCGAAAGCAUCAUAGUAGGCAAGGGUGUUGCUUUCUCAUACAACAAAUCGACACCUCGUCUUCAUAGGAGCUGUGAUUUUUUUUACUUUGAUCUCUUUCCCCGCUUUUCAAAUCAACUUAUGUUUGAACCCAUCUCCACAGGAGAUGUAAAGGCACACAAUUUGUUGAUGACACCCAAAUCAACAUAAACUUUGUUUACCUAUAUAUGACGGCGACUACUAUGUAUGCACUUGAUACUAACUUUCCGAUAAAAAAGAUAUACACAUAUAUCAACACUUACAUCCUUUUAACGUGAAAUACACAAAUAUCAAAUAUUGGACAGUUGUUGAUUUUACUAUGACAACCGACAGAGAAAAUCCAUAUCAAUUUUAUUGACCUUCUCACCCCGUAGUGCGAAAUUAGAUUAUCUAUUCUUGUAUACUCCAAGAGUUCUAACUAUUAUGUAGCGACCCGACUCAAAACGAGUCAAGCCUCUGUGUAUCUGUGCCAUCCCUGGAUCAGUAUGCUGGCACACACAGUACAUCAAUGUAUAUAUCAAAGUGCAAUCACAUGUAAAUAGCGUAAAACUGAUAUAUAUAUAUAUACCUUAAAUAUCUCAGCAGAAGCAGUCAAGGGAGUGGAGUCCCAAUAAACACCAACGGCAAGUUGAGUGUAGACCGUAACCCUGAAUUGUACUCUUACUCGUCGAAGAAAA
Molecule: long non-coding RNA, 3216 nt
Filed under: Hordeum vulgare
Lineage: Eukaryota; Viridiplantae; Streptophyta; Magnoliopsida; Poales; Poaceae
Description: long non-coding RNA (HVUL_LNC012468)
Source: RNAcentral